Molecule: long non-coding RNA, 4670 nt
Organism: Gastrolobium bilobum
Lineage: Eukaryota; Viridiplantae; Streptophyta; Magnoliopsida; Fabales; Fabaceae
Exons: 3
Source: RefSeq, a predicted model, not a curated record
GCCGAAAAGGAAAAAGAGUUGUGUAAUAAUAAAAGUGUUCUCUUCCUCAGUGUCUUUUUAAACCUUUUCUUUUUCUCAAAUAUCCUCCUCCCAACAAGACCAUCAUGACCGGUUUAAGCUUUCAGGGCUCUUGCUGUUGGGAUUUAUUUCCCAGCCCAUUCUAAAAUUACAAAAUCACAGAGAACCACACACAGAUGCAUCAAAAACUAAAAUAUCAUAGAAACACGCAACCAUAUAUGCACUCUCACAUUCGGUUUCUGGAGGUACGUUGAAAAGGAUCUUAAUUUCAUAUUAUGUAUGUUGGAUUGGACUUUGGAGCUUAAGCACCUGGUUGGUGUGAUGUACAAGGUCGGAUAGUAUAUACAUUAUGACAUUUUCAGUUGUUUGGUGUGACCAUCGUAUUCAUGCACCAACUUGAGGGGAAGUAUUGGACUGGAAGAUUCUGAAGAUAAUUUGUUUUGAUUUGUAGAUAAGAUAUGUAUCUAGGCAGUUUGUUAUUCUUUGUAUUAUUUUGCUGAUAUUCUUCCUAUUCUUCUGCUCCUAUCCCUUAUGUAUCUUACUGUUAUUCUUAGGCUGUUCGUCGGUUGCUAUAGCUUAGGAUUUGUUAAGUCUAUUUAAAGACUUUCGACUUGCACAUUCAGAAAGCAAUGAAAUCUAUUUCGUUCACUAUUUGUUAUGGUAUACAGUAGUGUUGUUUAAUACAUCAAAAUGAUGUAUAAUCUAAUCAGGGCUAGGGGGUAAGGAUUAGACCUGAUAAGAGUGUGAUGUAUUAGGUUAAUUUCUCCAUUCCCCAUCUGCCCCCUUUCUUCCCAUUGACGUUCACCUUUGAACUUUCUCAGAAACAACCACCUGUUAUCUUCUCCGUACAGUAUGCUGUCGUAGGCAAGACGGCUUGGCCGCCUGAGGGAAUAGAGACAUCUGGUCCAGGCUCCUCACGUUGACACAACACACUUCUCUUCGGCCCAUUCCAUUGUGAUUCACUGGUUUUUCUUCAUAGUUCACAGCUCACUCCUCACGUGGUAAUGGAGGUAAUCCAAGUUGGUAGGAACUUGGAGUUGUUACCAGUUUAACAUCAAAGUUGGCGAUGAGGAAGGAUAUCAUAUGGAGAUGAUGUCAAAAAUGGAAUGAAAGUAGGAACUUUGGGGCUUAUGAUGUCAAAAUUUAUUGAAGGUAUCGGAUCCAGUUCCUGAGAAUUGCACUGACUUAAGGCCAUUUCUCUUAUUAAUUGCACUGACGACAGGUGGAAAUGGUUUAAGGGUUGUCUUGGAGCUUUAGAUGGAACUUAUAUUACUGUUAAUGUUCCUGAGGCUGACAAGCCAAGAUAUAGAAGUCGAAAAGGUGAAAUUGCCACAAAUGUGUUAGGAGUAUGCUCACGAGACAUGAAAUUUGUAUAUGUGUUGCCGGGUUGGGAGGGUUCAGCUUCAGAUGCUAGGGUAUUGCGUGAUGCAAUUAAUAAGAGAAAUGGCCUUAAGGUUCCAUUAGGUAAGAGCGUGAAAAUUACAUUCAAUUUAGUCAUUUUAUUACAAUAUAUGGUAUAUUGAACCUUUCUUGUUCUAUUAAAUAGAAAAAUAUAUAAUGAACCUUACUUGUUUUAUUAAAUAAGAUACUAUUAUUUGGUUGAUGCUGGAUACACUAAUGGGGAUGGGUUUCUUGCCCCUUAUAGGGGGACAAGGUACCAUCUAAGCGAGUGGAGGCAUGGAUAUGUCCCGGCAACUUCUUAAGAAGUUUUCAAUAAGCGACAUGCUCAAGCUAGAAAUGUCAUAGAAAGGACAUUUGGGUUGUUGAAGAGCGUUGGGCAAUUCUUAGAAGUCCAAGUUUUUAUACUGUUAAGACUCACAACCGAAUUAUUAUUGCUUGUUGCUUACUGCAUAAUUUGAUAAGGAGGGAAAUGGAUACAGAUCAUUUAGAGAUAGAGCUAGGUAACAUAUCUACAAAAAUAUUGAAGAUUUUUAUUUCUACAAAAAUUAUUUUAUUUUUUUGACAUAUUAAUCGAUAAGAUUUUAUAAAAAUUAAUAUUAUAUAACAUUCAAAAGAAUUAUAUAAAUUCUUCAUUAAAGGGUAUUUUUGUCAAAAAUAUUUAUUUUUAUCCUAUCUAGUAUUAUACAGUGUAUUACCAAACACUGGAUAGUACUAUCUUAUACAAUACAUCAUCUUAUACAGUACCAUGCCAAACGCUGAAUAAUAUUAAAAUUUAACCAGGUCUUAUACUAUCAGGCCUUAUACUAUAAGGGCCUGUUUGGUGUGACGUAUAAGGCAUGAUAGUAUAAGCUUAUACUAUACGUUAUGACAUUUUCAGCUGUUUGGUGUGACCAUCGUAUAGUAUAAGCUUAUACAGCAUAAUCCCUUAAUACAUCAAAAUGAUGUAUAACUUAAUCCGGCCUAAGGGUGAGGGAUAAGGCCUGAUAAGAGAUGGAUGUAUUAAUAUCAUUGACCAAUGUAAUUCUCAAAAAUUAAUAUAUUAUUUUAAUAUUAAUCUAUUAAAAUAAAUAUUAAUUUUUUAAUAUAUUAAUUUUUAAAAUAUUAAAUAUUUUUAUUUUUAUAAAAAUUAAUUUAUAUUUUGGACACACUGAUCAAUAAAUUUUAUAAAAAUUAAUAUCAUAUGACAUUUUUUGAAGAAUUAUAUAAAUUCUUUAUUAAAGGAUAUUUUUAUUAAAAAUAUUUAUUUUUAUCAUAUAUAGUAUUAUAUAGUGCAUUACUAAAUACUAGAUGAUAUUAGGGCCGGCAAAAUGGGCUGAGCCCGCCGGGCUGGCCCGCCCCGCCUGCCAAAUGGGGCGGGCUGGGUUGAGUCUUUCAACCCACCCGCCCGCCAAACCCGCCAGCCCAUAUGGGUCAGCCUGCCAAGUCAUUUUUUUUUUUUUUUUUUAGGUUACCCAAUUGUUAUGUAGCUCCGUAUCUUAGAUUUCUCUGCUUGCAAGUGGCUUUUUUGAAUUGUUGUGGACUGCUCAUACAACACUUUGUUACUUGUUUUGUUAUUCUAUUUUAUCCUGAUAUGAUUUUUUUUUUAUUAUUAUUUUUGGAUUGAAAGAUGCAUAUUUAUAUGCAGAUUAUUAAACACUGAUCUUCUUGGUUUCAUAAGCACAUUAGGAUUUUAUACAGAUUUUUGUAUGCUUUUAUGCAGAUUUUUUUAUGUGAUUUUAUGCAGAAUUUAAUUUUUUGUAUUUUAUUUUUAUAUUUUUUUUUAUUUUAGGCGGGCUGGCCCGUAGCCCGCCAGCCCACUCAUAAAACGGGCCGGGUUACUCAAUUCAACCCAUUUUAUCAAAACGGGCCGGGGCGGGCCAACCCAUUUUGGGCGGGCUAGUGGCGGGCCGGGGCGGGCCGGGGCGGGCUGACCCAUAUUGCCAGCCCUAGAUGAUAUUAUCUUAUACAAUAUAUUAUUUUAUACGAUACCGUGUCAAACGCUGGAUAGUAUUAAAAUUCAAUCAGGUCUUAUACAAUCAGGCCUUAUACUAUCAGGUCUUAUACUAUCAGGCCUUAUCCUAUACUAUGUACCAAACAUGCCCUAAGGUCUUUUACUAUCAGGUCUUAUCCUAUACAAUGCACCAAACAUGCCCUAAAUGAAUAGCAGCAUGUUAGGGAACUAUAGAUUUAUUUUCCAAUACAGAAUUACUUGGAGACUCGUUCAUCCAUUCUUUGCAGGAAGAAAAUUUCCAAAUUUCUAGUACUGCGUACGUACUGACUUCCAUUACACAAGGUUACCUGCAAGGUCUUCCAAAUCCAUGACUGAAUUGGAGGGGAAAACAUCCGAAAGUGGAUCUAACAUGUCAGAAUAAAUAUGCUUUUUUAGUUCUGAAGGAGUACUACAAGUACUUCCCCUUUGGAUGAACUAGAAGGAAAUUCUCUUGUAAAUUAUUUUGCUCGUUUUUACCUGAAUGUUUCAAUGUGUUAAGACUAUAUUACUUGGCUUAUAAUUAUUUCCAUGUUAGACAUCUAGUAUCUCUUACAACUUAAGAGAAUAGCCAUCUCACAUUACGUUUAAAAUGAUUGACUAAUAAAGAGACAAGACAAGUAUUUUACCGAAAAUGUAAGAGAAAGUACAAGAAGUUACAUACUUGAGUUUGGUAGCACUCCACCAGGAACAGACACGUGACUAAAAUUCCUUGUGGAUAAACGGUAAUCUGAUGGAAACAUACAAUCUGGUUCAUUGGACUGUGGAUUCCUGUAAGGCAAGUCAGAGCAUGUAUUUGGUUUAUCAGCACUUUUAUGUUGGGACUGAAAUUCCUCUGGUUUUGUCUUCUUCACCUCAGAAGGCUCAACUUCUGAAUCAGAAUUACUAGGCCUCACAUUUUUUUGUUUUCUUUUUGAUUGAGAACGCUUAUUCUUGAACCAAUGAUAGGCAUUUUCUACAGAAAUUUGGCCAUAGUGACUCAGUUCACCAGUAAGCUCCUCGAUCUUGCUUGGAGUUUUAUCCUUAUCAAAUAUAUCCUGAAGAAUCUGCCGUUGCGUAGUUGUUGGAGUCCACCGCUGUUUUUUAUGGAGAGUAGAUGUCAUCAAUGGGUCACAGUCUGUAUUUUCCACCCUAAGCAACCCUGAUGGAGAAAAAAAAAAUAGAAUGUUGGAUCUUGAUGAACAUGCAUCAUCAGAUUAACAAAAUGUCAUUUUUUGUAUGUCAAGCAAAGAAAAUAAACGUCUCCUUUUAUCUUGGUGGAGGGUUGAGGGAAGCUGGUCUCAAU